Molecule: ribosomal RNA, 405 nt
Filed under: uncultured bacterium
Lineage: Bacteria
Description: partial 16S ribosomal RNA
Rfam family: Bacterial small subunit ribosomal RNA
Source: RNAcentral
GAUGAACGCUGGCGGCGUGCUUAAUACAUGCAAGUCGAGCGAAGCGGGGACGGGUGAGUAACACGUGGAUAACCUCCUAUAAGACUGGGAUAACUUCGGGCAACCGGAGCUAAACCGGAUACUUAGAGAUGGAUCCGCGCUGCAUUAGCUAGUUGGUAAGGUAACGGGUUACCAAGGCCACGAUGCAUAGCCGACCUGAGAGGGUGGUCGGCCACACUGGAACUGGGACACGGUCCAGACUCCUACGGGAGGCAGCAGUAGGGAAUCUUCCGCAAUGGGCGAUAGCCUGACGGAGCGCCGCCGCGUGAGUGAUGAAGGUCUUCGGAUCGUAAGACUCUGUUAUUAGGGAAACGGUACCUACUCAGAAAGCCACGGCUAACUACGUGCCAGCAGCCGCGGUAAUUC